UCCCAGCUGCGUUACUACCAGUUUUCAGAUUGUCUUCCUAGGAAGGAAGAGCUCCGAAUUUUCUCUCAACCGUUCUUGUGGCCAAGAAGCGGGAUGGGGACAAGAGGCCUGGUGACCCCCCAAGCUGAAGUUAAAGAAAACCAGCCUGGCUGUUGUGGCUCAGCAGUUAAAGCACCACCCUGAGCAUCAAAGUGUCCUGGCUUGGAUUCCCAGACCUGGAUGGCUGGUUCAAUGCCCAGGGGCAAAUUAUCCUGCAGUGAGGAUUAACAACACAAACAAACAAGGAAACAAACAAAGAAAAACAGAGGUGAAAAACUGGAGUGGAAAGCUUUAGCCACCUGUGCAGUCUUCCCCAGAAAUGUCAUCUCAAUGAACCAGACUGGAAUUUUCCAGUCAAGCACCAGCACCUCAGGCUCAGCCUCUCCCUAUUAAAACCUUCCAUUCUGUGUGGCCCCUGGGAGUUCUGCUCUAGUUGCUAGAGGGGAUGCUGCCUGGUUCAUGAAUCUUUUAAUAAAGCCAAUUAAAUCUUUA
Molecule: long non-coding RNA, 531 nt
Organism: Eptesicus fuscus (big brown bat)
Lineage: Eukaryota; Metazoa; Chordata; Mammalia; Chiroptera; Vespertilionidae
Exons: 4
Source: RefSeq, a predicted model, not a curated record